CCCCUUCCUUCUUUCUAGGAAACCCUCCAGAGAACUUCUUUGGAUUAGCAUUUGAAGUUUCAGCUAUAGCCGCCAGUUUUCCGUUCCUCACACCAUAUUCAACGCGAGCUCCUAUAGCAACAAGCUCGGAGAAUCCCAAAGAAGCACUUCCCACCAUCUUCUCAUAGAAUUGAGGUUGGACAGUGUCGAUAAACAGUUCGGCCAAUUCCUUUUCAGCAAGAGGUGGCUCAACUUGAGAAGCCAACUCCCUCCAUCUUUGAGCGUAUUCUUUAAAGGACUCCUUAUCAUGUUGGAACAUG
Molecule: long non-coding RNA, 299 nt
Filed under: Lathyrus oleraceus (garden pea)
Lineage: Eukaryota; Viridiplantae; Streptophyta; Magnoliopsida; Fabales; Fabaceae
Description: Pisum sativum (pea) long non-coding RNA (PSAT_LNC039959)
Source: RNAcentral